GUUGCUGGAAAUAAACCUCUUUAGGGAGUCAAUCAGCAGCUGUACGCUGAUCAAGCGUGCCGCCCACAGAUCAAACACGAGUGACUGUCUCCUUUUCCCUUUCGAAAGUCUUACUCCUUUCGAAAGUCUAUAGCGAGUCGGUUAAGAUAUGACCGUAGCAGCUCCGCAAGGAGGUGAUAAAACUAGUUCCGUAGGUGAACCUGCGGAAGGAU
RNAcentral lists this ribosomal RNA (212 nucleotides) under Mycoblastus affinis. RNAcentral's name for it is "partial 18S ribosomal RNA". Lineage: Eukaryota; Fungi; Ascomycota; Lecanoromycetes; Lecanorales; Mycoblastaceae. The record is from RNAcentral.